UCAAUGAAAUUUCAAUAGCCGCAAUAUAUUUGUGCUAAGGUAGCAUAAUCAUUUGUCUUUUAAUUAAAGACUAGAACAAAAGAUUUAACAUUUUUAUUUCUUUCUCAAUAAUUAAUAUUUAAUUUAUCUUAAAUAUAAAAAGAUAUUUAUAACAUAAAAAGACGACAAGACCCUAUUGAACUUAAAUAAAGUUUAACUGGGGUAGUUAAUUAAAUACAAUUUUAAUUUACAAUUUAUAAAUCACAUAAUAUAAUUAAAUCCAUCAAGUUACCAUAGGGAUAACAG
RNAcentral lists this ribosomal RNA (285 nucleotides) under Pireneitega zonsteini. RNAcentral describes it as "partial large subunit ribosomal RNA". The record is from RNAcentral. Lineage: Eukaryota; Metazoa; Arthropoda; Arachnida; Araneae; Agelenidae.